GUGCUAAUAAUUACAAAAAAGGCAAAAAAUAAUGCAUUGUCUUCUUUGUUUAGUCUUAAGCCUAUCUUAUGAAAAUUCAAAGAUAAUUAAUAAAAUUAUGGAGGAGUUAAGUGCUCACUCACCAGGAAGAUUUUCUAAAUGGGUAUAACAUAUCCCCUCAUCGCCUUCAAGAGUCGAAAUGAAAUCAUCAAUGAACACAUGUGGUUUGGAAUUUCCUACCCCAACUCUUGCAGCCAAAUGUUCUAACAGCUCUACAUCAGGUGGAUCAAAUUUUACACCAGCAGGGAGCUCAAGCCAUUCAUUAAUUAUCUAAAUAGGAUGAAAGUCUUG
RNAcentral lists this long non-coding RNA (330 nucleotides) under Olea europaea subsp. europaea. Lineage: Eukaryota; Viridiplantae; Streptophyta; Magnoliopsida; Lamiales; Oleaceae. The record is from RNAcentral.